RNAcentral lists this unclassified non-coding RNA (256 nucleotides) under uncultured fungus. RNAcentral describes it as "partial contains 5.8S ribosomal RNA, internal transcribed spacer 2, and large subunit ribosomal RNA". The stretch from base 1 to 52 matches the Rfam family "5.8S ribosomal RNA", at positions 103 to 154 of the family's 154-position model. The record is from RNAcentral. Lineage: Eukaryota; Fungi.
AACGCACAUUGCGCCCGGUGGUAUUCCGCCGGGCAUGCCUGUUCGAGCGUCAUUAUAGCCCACAAGCAUUGCUUGGUAUUGGGGAUUGCAGCUACCUGCAGCCCUAAAGUCUAGUGGCGGCCCCUUUGGGUUUCAAGCGUAGUAAUUCUUCUCGCUACGGAACCUCUAGGAGCUAGGUCUCAAAAGGACCGCGCCAAAACCCCCAUAUUUUACAAUGGUUGACCUCGGAUCAGGUAGGGAUACCCGCUGAACUUAA